UCGAUUCCCUUAGUAGCGGCGAGCGAAACGGGAAGAGCCCAAACCAACAAGCUUGCUUGUUGGGGUUGUAGGACACUCUAUACGGAGUUACAAAGGACGACAUUAGACGAAUCAUCUGGAAAGAUGAAUCAAAGAAGGUAAUAAUCCUGUAGUCGAAAAUGUUGUCUCUCUUGAGUGGAUCCUGAGUACGACGGAGCACGUGAAAUUCCGUCGGAAUCUGGGAGGACCAUCUCCUAAGGCUAAAUACUCUCUAGUGACCGAUAGUGAACCAGUACCGUGAGGGAAAGGUGAAAAGCACCCCGGAAGGGGAGUGAAAUAGAACCUGAAACCGUGUGCUUACAAGUAGUCAGAGCCCGUUAAUGGGUGAUGGCGUGCCUUUUGUAGAAUGAACCGGCGAGUUACGAUUUGAUGCAAGGUUAAGCAGUAAAUGUGGAGCCGUAGCGAAAGCGAGUCUGAAUAGGGCGUUUAGUAUUUGGUCGUAGACCCGAAACCAGGUGAUCUACCCUUGGUCAGGUUGAAGUUCAGGUAACACUGAAUGGAGGACCGAACCGACUUACGUUGAAAAGUGAGCGGAUGAACUGAGGGUAGCGGAGAAAUUCCAAUCGAACCUGGAGAUAGCUGGUUCUCUCCGAAAUAGCUUUAGGGCUAGCCUCAAGUGAUGAUUAUUGGAGGUAGAGCACUGUUUGGACGAGGGGCCCCUCUCGGGUUACCGAAUUCAGACAAACUCCGAAUGCCAAUUAAUUUAACUUGGGAGUCAGAACAUGGGUGAUAAGGUCCGUGUUCGAAAGGGAAACAGCCCAGACCACCAGCUAAGGUCCCAAAAUAUAUGUUAAGUGGAAAAGGAUGUGGCGUUGCCCAGACAACUAGGAUGUUGGCUUAGAAGCAGCCAUCAUUUAAAGAGUGCGUAAUAGCUCACUAGUCGAGUGACACUGCGCCGAAAAUGUACCGGGGCUAAACAUAUUACCGAAGCUGUGGAUUGUCCUUUGGACAAUGGUAGGAGAGCGUUCUAAGGGCGUUGAAGCAUGAUCGUAAGGACAUGUGGAGCGCUUAGAAGUGAGAAUGCCGGUGUGAGUAGCGAAAGACGGGUGAGAAUCCCGUCCACCGAUUGACUAAGGUUUCCAGAGGAAGGCUCGUCCGCUCUGGGUUAGUCGGGUCCUAAGCUGAGGCCGACAGGCGUAGGCGAUGGAUAACAGGUUGAUAUUCCUGUACCACCUAUAAUCGUUUUAAUCGAUGGGGGGACGCAGUAGGAUAGGCGAAGCGUGCGAUUGGAUUGCACGUCUAAGCAGUAAGGCUGAGUAUUAGGCAAAUCCGGUACUCGUUAAGGCUGAGCUGUGAUGGGGAGAAGACAUUGUGUCUUCGAGUCGUUG
Molecule: ribosomal RNA, 1367 nt
Filed under: Staphylococcus aureus
Lineage: Bacteria; Bacillati; Bacillota; Bacilli; Caryophanales; Staphylococcaceae
Description: partial 23S ribosomal RNA
Rfam family: Bacterial large subunit ribosomal RNA
Source: RNAcentral